RNAcentral lists this long non-coding RNA (6648 nucleotides) under Octopus vulgaris (common octopus). The record is from RNAcentral. Lineage: Eukaryota; Metazoa; Mollusca; Cephalopoda; Octopoda; Octopodidae.
GUAAUGAUCCCACCAAUUCACAAUCCUAAAUAAUGAUAAUAAUAAUAAUAAUCUUAACUGAUUGGAGGUGUUGACAUGUACAUGUUUUGUCUUGGUGUAAAAUAUGGGCUCAGCAAAUAUUCUGCUCAUUACCAUAGAUUUGCUUUUCAUUUGUUUGACCAUAACUGGUUGAGCAUGUCCUUUAGUGGCUGAUUGUGAGCAGAAGUGGUGGAGGAGCAUCAUGGCCAUGUGUUGAGAAGAAUUCGUAGGGGUUUGAAUAAUUCACCUCUGAAAAUAUCGGUGCUUGCAUAGGGUAUUUUUAGCUGUGAGGUUAAGGUUCCAGACUACUACUUCUUGUAGAGUAAAAGUAAAGUUACCUUCUCGCAUCAUACCAACUCAUAAUAGCCAGUUUCCUGGUUUCAUGGUGUAUGAAUUCCCCACCUGGACUGGAUGCUGGUCUGCCACAGUGUUACGCAUUUUUGCCAGCUGAGUGGACUGGAGCCACGGAAAAUGAAGUGUUUUGCUCAAGAACACAACGCAUCACCCAGUCCAGGAAUCGAAACCACAAACUUACAAUCAAGAGUCCAACACUCUAACCUCUAAACCAUGCACCUUAACCAGACUACUGCUUGUUGUGUGGUUAAUCCAGGUUUUUGUAGCUUCUACAUUUUGUGAUAUACCAUUUUUGUUUUCAUUUUAACACUAGAUUGUCUAUGCUUUCAUGGGUUGGAUUGUGUAUUGGAUCAAAUUUUUUAUGGCCAGAUGCCUUCCCUGUCACUAACCCUCACUUGUUUCCAAGCAAAGUAAUAUUUUCCCCAUGGCCAGGCAUGUUUUCACAGAAUAUCGCAAAUGCAUGAUACUGCUUGUAUGACCAUGACGCUGACGGCUAUCAUGCAAUGUCAAGACAAGGGGAUUCCAAACAUACACACACUCACUACCACACACACAUAUAUUUAUAUAUAUAAGGCGGCGAGCUGGCAGAACCGUUAGCACACCGGGCGAAAUAUGUAACCGUAUUUCGUCUGCCGUUACGUUCUGAGUUCAAAUUCCGCCGAGGUCGACUUUGCCUUUCAUCCUUUCGGGGUCGAUAAAUUAAGUACCAGUUACGCACUGGGGUCCAUGUAAUCGACUUAAUCCGUUUGUCUGUCCUUGUUUAUGCCCUCUGUGUUUAGCCCCUUGUGGGUAGUAAAGAAAUAUAUAUUUAUAUAUUUAACAGGCUUCCUUCAGUUUCCAUCUAAGUUCACUCAGAUGACUUUGUUUGACCUGGGGCUAAAGUAGAAGACACCCAAGGUGCUGUGUUGUAGAACUAAACUUGAAAUUAUGUGGUUGGGAAGCACUUCUGACCCACACAGCAAUGCCUGAUUGGCCAAGCUUUCCAUUAGUUGAUUUGAUCAAUGGUAUGGCAUGCUCAUGAAAUUAAUGUUCAAGUAGCCAAGUGCUCCACAGAGACAUGUACCGUUAAUAUAGUUCUCAGGGUGAUUCAGCAUGACACAGAAUGUGACAAGGCUGGCUCUUUGAAAUACAGGUACAACUUAACUUUUGUCAGCUGAGUGGACUGGAGCAAUGUGGAGUUAAAGCUUAUAAAUUAAAAUGAAAUAUUUUGUUUUGUCUGAAGACAUUACAAAUGAGGAGAGUCAGUUGUCUCCAUCAAAAAAUUAAAAAAAAAUUUUUAAAAAAAGGAACAAAGCAAAAAUACAGAAUACAUGUUUGCUCAGGAAAAACUGUGAAAAUUGUCCUCUGACUGGUUGCAAGUAAGUGCUUGAGUGAACUCCAUUUCAUAAGGCUGGUAGUUCAAUUCAGUGUUGUGGGAUUGUGUAUUUGAACAGCAGGCUGUAUUGUAAGCAUUCCCAUUCACCUACAUCAGUGGUUCCCAAAGUGGGUAGUAUUGUUCCCCUGGAGGCAGUGAAAAGUUCCUAGGAGGUGCUGAAGGAAAGUGGGGCGAUAAUGGGGUCGUGAUUCAUGUAAAAAUUGGGGUGAUAAUGGGGUGGUAAUUCAUGUAAAAACAACAAAAUGAUGGGUUCAUUGGGUUAUAUUUUAUUUGUGAAAUACAGUUGUUUUGAAUUUGCUUCAGAAAGAGGUCUAUGUUUGUGAUGGUUAGUUGGGGUGGUGGCGCUAGGAAUUUGGCCUAGGUGUCAAGGAAGCGGCAGUCCGAAAAAGUUUGGGAACCACUGACCUACAUGACAAGGAUCUGAGAGUUGAGAUAGGCCAGGUUCCCAUUUCAAAACAUUUAUCUCUCAUCUACUGAACACUUUAAAAUUGAAAUGAAGACAAGCACAGAUUUUUGAAGACUCCUUGAAAUAAAAAUAUUUUAAAAAAAGAACCAUUUUAUAUACAGUUUGGCAGAAAUAAAGACAUGUAUGCUCAUCUAUCUAUUUUUAUUAUUCUUAAACAAGAAUAUUAUUGACAGUGACUUCGAAGUUUUGACCAGUUAAGCCAAACAUCAAAGUCAUUGUCAAUAUUCUUGUUUAAGAAUAAUGAAUCUGUACUUAAGAAAAGUAUAGAGUAACUCCACAGAUUAAUGUAAAAUUGUUUUUAUUAUAACAACAUUAACACACACACACAUAUAUUCUGUGGGAUGGUUUCAUUCAAAGCUGAAGACCCCUUACAUCAUUAUCAUCACACCAGUUUUCUACUCUGUAUACAUUCAUUUAACUAAACAAAUGCUUACCAACUAUGCUAGAAAUCUCUAUUAUAAUUUCAAUGGCAGUUAAUCAGUAGACUCGAUCGAGCAUCAACCAAAAUCGUUUGCAGUAUCUGUUUUGUCCCUUUGUUUUUUAAAUUCUGGUUGUGCCAGAAUCAACUUUGCCUUCCAUCUUUCUCAGGUUGAUGACAUAAAGUAACAGUCAGUUUCUGGGCUCAUUAGUAUUAAUUAAGCCCCUUUCUUAAAUUUCUAGGGCUGUGUCUAUCUGUAUUAGAGACAAUUGUUUAAGGAUAACACAGACAGAAUCAUUAGAACAUCUGAUAAAAUGGCCAGGCCAGUGGAUGAGGAGAGCCUGCGCCAUUGCUGCAUUCACCAUUUGUUGGUGUAUUCCCAGGUCCUCUUGGGCAACCCAUUGAACAGAGUUUGAGUAAGUCCCCAUCUCUCUGAGAUCCUUCCUCAUCAGCCAUGACCAUGUAACAUGUGGUCCUGAACUUCUUUGAUACCAGGAUGCUUUGCAGGAUUAUGGGUCACUCUUGGUCAGAUUUUCUAUCCAACCAAUGACUCUUUUCGGAAGCUUGGGAUAUAUCCUGUUAUUGUAUGGAUUCAGGAGUAACCACCUCAAACAAUUUGGCCAUGUUGCUCAAUUUCCCAAGUUAGACCCUGUUUACCCUGUUCUCUUCUCCAAGUACUUAGCUGGGUUGAUGGCUCAUGUUGGUUGACCACAUACCACCUAAUCAUGGCAGAUGAAGAGGAAGUAUAGACAAAAGAAUAAUCAUUAUUUGUCACGGCUCUUAAAGUUUUGAGUUCAAAUCUUGCUAAAAUCAACUUUGCUUUUCAUCUUUUUGGGAUCAUUGAGAGGAAAUACCAGUCAAGCAUCGGAAUCUAAUGUAAUUGCAUGUUUUCCUUUCACAAACAAAAUACUGGCCAAAAUUAGAAAUAAAUUAUUACUUUGGGUCUGUUAUGUAACCUGUCUCUGUGUUCUUUUUUAAGGAGAAUGUACACAUUUAGUAUUGUAGAAAAGCUGUGAGGAAAUGUUCUAAACUAGGAAUAUUUGCCAAAGAUAUUUGGAAGCACAAACAUCUGCUUCUUCAUUCCCCUUUACCUAUUAUAUAUAUCUGCAUGUGUGUGAGCGUAUUCACAUAUAUAGAGGCAAUUAUGCAGAUAAAUGCCUCCAUAUCUGCUCAACUUGAUUCCUCUUAUAUCUGUUCUUUACCUAAGUUUGAAUCAUUUGAGCGCUACUAAGUGUCUUCUUUACUAAGAAUCUCUGGAUCUCAUCUUUUGGCUAUUUAUAUAUAUAUAUGUAUAUGCAUCUCUCUCAUAUAUAUAUUACAGAGAUGUACUUGCAUAGCAAGUGACCUGAUCUGAGAUUGUGUGCUGGAACGAAGACAAUUGCAGUGUGGAAGGUUUUAAUAAGCCAUUUAAAACACACAAAAACCGUUAGAUUCACUUCAACACUUAAAUUUACUUUGCCACAAUAUUUUCAUCGCUUUGAGACUGCAACCUGUCCACUCACAAGAUGCAGCACAAAAAUUUUGUCAGCGAACAGGUCGUUGUCUCAAAGCAACAAAAAUAUUUUGGCAAAUUAAAUUUAAAAGUUGAAGUGAAUCUAACGGUUUUUGUGUGUUUCUUAGAUGGCUUAUAAACACCUUCCAUGCUGCAAUUGUGUAUAUAUGUAUGUAUAUAUAUAUAUAUAUAUGUGUGUAUAUGUAUGUAUGUAUGGUUUAUCUACCUUUCAGCCUUACUCUUUCUGGCAGUCUAUCUCCCCAUUACCUCCCCUCCUCCUUCCUAUACAUCUUGCAAGCUUAUUCUUCAAUUUACCUUGUACCUUGUGAGGUCAUCUAGGCACCUUAUCACCAUUAUUUAUCUCUUACAGCUCCUACUGUUCAUUUUCUCUGCUUUCUUUUUCCCCUACUAGAUGUAAGUAACCAUGCAGAUACCCCACAAAAAUUUGCAUUGCUUCUCUUUUCUGGAGAUAAAUCCCUUAAGCCACUAGCAUAUAACUGACUUCCCCAACCUAGGGGAGCUGUGAGCUGUAUGGCAAUCUCAGUAGGGUCAGUGGCACCAAAAAAGCAACCAGUUUAUGCUGUAUAAUGGUUUGCAUUAGGAAGAGCACCCAGUCAUAGAAACUGUGCUAAAACAGACACUGGAACAUGAUGCAGCCCUUGGACACAUUGCAUCCUGUCAAACUGUUCAGCCGUUGCUAGCAUGAAUGAUGAUGAUGUUUGUGUGUAUACACACUUUAUUUGUAGGUUGAUACAAUGCUACCAAUGAUACCAUGUUGGGAAAAAUCUCUCAACAAUUAUCAAGCCUGCCACAUGGGAACAUUGGUAUUUGUCUCCAUCUCAGAUGUGAAUACAUGAAGCUACACAAAGCUGAUAUAUAUAUAUAUAUAUAUAUAUAUAUAUAUAUAUAUAUACAGGGUUGGCGAAAAAUCACCCGACAGUAAAUCAAAAUUCCAUAAAUACUUAAUAUUCAAUUUUAUUUAUUCAUUCCAAUUAUGAAUGUUUAGUAAUUGAAUGCUGUGAGUUAAAAUCACUGUUUUUGCCAAAAUUUGACUUUUUUAGCAAAGUCUCUUUCAGUUGUUAAACAUAAAUAAAUCUUGGAAUUAAUGGUUUUGAUUUACUAUCAGAUGACUUUUGGCUAACCCUGUAUGUGUGUAUAUAUAUAUAUAUAUUAUAUUGAGCACUUUCAUGUACUUGUGAUACAGGAUUCAAGCUGAAAUAUACAUCACACAUUCUAGUCAUCAUCAUCAUCAUUGUUUAACAUCCAUUUUCCAUGCUGCCAUGGGUUGGAUGGUUUGACAGGAGCUAAACUGUCCAACUCAUGCCAGCAUGGAAAGCAGACGUUAAAUGAUGAUGAUGAUGACUACAAUGAGGGAUAUUCGUUCCCCACAAAUGUGAAUCGAUUACUUGCACAACGCUCACUUCAAUGCUUUUGUCUAUAUUUACCUUGAAAGACAUUGGUUGGCAUAUUAGUCUAGCCAUCUGAGAUUCUUGGGGUGGCAAGUUGUCCACUGGAAUGAGGGAACCAAAUCAAUGAGAGGCAGGUGGGGGUUGCAUCAGCAUUUCUCUUUUGAUCUAAUUAGAUUUACACAGUUAAGAUAGGCUUUUUAUGCAGUCACAUUUUAAUGUGCAUGUAUAUGUGUGUGUGCAUACAUAUAUAUAUAUAUUUAUAAAUAAGAAUAAGAUAGAUAUUUAAAUAUCAAUCUUAUCAAGUGGCCAGCAUGGGAAUAUAGUACUCUCCUAGUGCUAUAUGAACAUUUAAUGUGACUUUAGGGUCAGGUUUUGACUGCUAUUUCAGCGUGGUGGUAUCUGUCAGAUACCCUAACUUAUAAUUUUAUAUAUAUAUAUACACACACACACACACACACACACAUACAGUCUCAUGUAUACAUAUGCUGGACCAUUGAAAUCUACAAGUUUUUUUUUUCAUUCUCUCUCUGUUUAUUUUCUCUUAUUCCUAUCAGUUGAAGAGCAUAGGUUCGAAAUAUAAAAGACUUUUUUUAUUUUCCCGAGCGUCAAACUAAUACACUUGCUUGUUGUUCAUACACCUGUCUUCAUCUUUUGUUUUUCUAUGAAUUUCAACUACAAGUAUAUAUAUAUAUAUAUGUACAUGUAUGUAUGUAUACUUAUAUAUAUGUGUGUAUAUAAACACAUACAUUGCUUAAGGUAGGACAAAUGAGAAAAAGUGUGCUCAAAACAUGUUAUAGAGGAUGGAUUCUUUUUUAUUUAAACUGAAGCUAAAAGUUUGUUUUGUAGUUCAAGUUUCAUUAAGUAAGAAAAACGCAAGUUUUAGUGAGCAAUAUAAUACAUCUUUAGUACUUAAAUAUUCCUGGAUGAUAAAAUAAUGGAGUAAGAAGCAGGUUUUUAGUGUAUCAUUUCUCCGACAUUGAUUCAGUCCUAUGCGUUGGAACCAUCUGUUCUCAUUCACAUCUUAGGAAAGGCAGGAAUCACACAAUCUCCCAUUAUUUUUCUCUUCCUCUUCCAAGAUAUAUACAUAUAAAUGUAUGCAUAUAUAUAUAUAUAUAU